RNAcentral lists this ribosomal RNA (500 nucleotides) under uncultured bacterium. Its description in RNAcentral is "partial 16S ribosomal RNA". It matches the Rfam family "Bacterial small subunit ribosomal RNA", at positions 30 to 523 of the family's 1533-position model. The record is from RNAcentral.
AUUGAACGCUGGCGGAAUGCUUUACACAUGCAAGUCGAACGGCAGCACGGACUUCGGUCUGGUGGCGAGUGGCGAACGGGGGAGUAAUGUAUCGGAACGUGCCCAGUCGUGGGGGAUAACGUAGUGAAAAUUACGCUAAUACAGCAUACGAUCUAUGGAUGAAAGCGGGGGAUCGAAAGACCCCGAGCGGUUGGAGCGGCCGAUAUCAGAUUAGGUAGUUGGUGGGGUAAAGGCCCACCAAGCCAACGAUCUGUAGCUGGUCUGAGAGGACGACCAGCCACACUGGAACUGAGACACGGUCCAGACUCCUACGGGAGGCAGCAGUGGGGAAUUUUGGACAAUGGGCGAAAGCCUGAUCCAGCCAUUCCGCGUGCAGGAUGAGGGCCCUCGGGUUGUAAACUGCUUUUGUACAGAACGAAAAGGUUUCUACUAAUACUAGGAGCUCAUGACGGUACUGUAAGAAUAAGCACCGGCUAACUACGUGCCAGCCGCCGCAGUAA